AUUGAACGCUGGCGGCAUGCUUUACACAUGCAAGUCGAACGGUAACAGGCCUUCGGGCGCUGACGAGUGGCGAACGGGUGAGUAAUGCAUCGGAACGUGCCCAGAGGUGGGGGAUAACGCAGCGAAAGCUGUGCUAAUACCGCAUGUGAUCUGAGGAUGAAAGCGGGGGACCAAGCAGCAAUGUUUGGCCUCGCGCCUCUGGAGCGGCCGAUGUCAGAUUAGGUAGUUGGUGGGGUAAAGGCCUACCAAGCCGACGAUCUGUAGCUGGUCUGAGAGGACGACCAGCCACACUGGGACUGAGACACGGCCCAGACUCCUACGGGAGGCAGCAGUGGGGAAUUUUGGACAAUGGGCGCAAGCCUGAUCCAGCAAUGCCGCGUGCGGGAAGAAGGCCUUCGGGUUGUAAACCGCUUUUGUACGGAACGAAAAGGCUCUGGCUAAUACCUGGGGCUGAUGACGGUACCGUAAGAAUAAGCAUCGGCUAACUACGUG
Molecule: ribosomal RNA, 492 nt
Filed under: uncultured bacterium
Lineage: Bacteria
Description: partial 16S ribosomal RNA
Rfam family: Bacterial small subunit ribosomal RNA
Source: RNAcentral